UACGGAAGGCAGCAGGGGGAAUAUUGCACAAUGGGCGCAAGCCUGAUGCAGCCAUGCCGCGUGUAUGAAAAAGGCCUUCGGGUUGUAAAGUACUUUCAGUCGUGAGGAAGGUGUUAAGGUUAAUAACCUUAGCAAUUGACGUUAGCGACAGAAGAAGCACCGGCUAACUCCGUGCCAGCAGCCGCGGUAAUACGGAGGGUGCGAGCGUUAAUCGGAAUUACUGGGCGUAAAGGGCACGCAGGCGGUUAAUUAAGUUGGAUGUGAAAUCCCCGGGCUUAACCUGGGAAUGGCAUUCAAGACUGGUUAGCUAGAGUCUUGUAGAGGGGGUAGAAUUCCAUGUGUAGCGGUGAAAUGCGUAGAGAUGUGGAGGAUACCGGUGGCGAAGGCGGCCCCUGGACAAAGACUGACGCUCAUGUGCGAAAGCGUGGGGAGCAAACAGGGAUUAGAUACC
This 451-nucleotide ribosomal RNA is filed under the name uncultured bacterium. Its description in RNAcentral is "bacterial SSU rRNA". It matches the Rfam family "Bacterial small subunit ribosomal RNA", at positions 340 to 786 of the family's 1533-position model. The record is from RNAcentral.